RNAcentral lists this ribosomal RNA (1071 nucleotides) under Kocuria palustris. Its description in RNAcentral is "bacterial SSU rRNA". It matches the Rfam family "Bacterial small subunit ribosomal RNA", at positions 65 to 1144 of the family's 1533-position model. Lineage: Bacteria; Bacillati; Actinomycetota; Actinomycetes; Micrococcales; Micrococcaceae. The record is from RNAcentral.
CGCUGAAGCACCAGCUUGCUGGUGUGGAUGAGUGGCGAACANGGUGAGUAAUACGUGAGUAACCUGCCCUUGACUCUGGGAUAAGCCCGGGAAACUGGGUCUAAUACUGGAUGCUACAUGUCACCGCAUGGUGGUGUGUGGAAAGGGUUUACUGGUCUUGGAUGGGCUCACGGCCUAUCAGCUUGUUGGUGAGGUAAUGGCUCACCAAGGCGACGACGGGUAGCCGGCCUGAGAGGGUGACCGGCCACACUGGGACUGAGACACGGCCCAGACUCCUACGGGAGGCAGCAGUGGGGAAUAUUGCACAAUGGGCGAAAGCCUGAUGCAGCGACGCCGCGUGAGGGAUGACGGCCUUCGGGUUGUAAACCUCUUUCAGCAGGGAAGAAGCCACAAGUGACGGUACCUGCAGAAGAAGCGCCGGCUAACUACGUGCCAGCAGCCGCGGUAAUACGUAGGGCGCAAGCGUUGUCCGGAAUUAUUGGGCGUAAAGAGCUCGUAGGCGGUUUGUCGCGUCUGCUGUGAAAGCCCGGGGCUUAACCCCGGGUGUGCAGUGGGUACGGGCAGACUAGAGUGCAGUAGGGGAGACUGGAAUUCCUGGUGUAGCGGUGGAAUGCGCAGAUAUCAGGAGGAACACCGAUGGCGAAGGCAGGUCUCUGGGCUGUUACUGACGCUGAGGAGCGAAAGCAUGGGGAGCGAACAGGAUUAGAUACCCUGGUAGUCCAUGCCGUAAACGUUGGGCACUAGGUGUGGGGGACAUUCCACGUUUUCCGCGCCGUAGCUAACGCAUUAAGUGCCCCGCCUGGGGAGUACGGCCGCAAGGCUAAAACUCAAAGGAAUUGACGGGGGCCCGCACAAGCGGCGGAGCAUGCGGAUUAAUUCGAUGCAACGCGAAGAACCUUACCAAGGCUUGACAUAUACCGGAUCGUUCCAGAGAUGGUUCUUCCCCUUUGGGGUCGGUAUACAGGUGGUGCAUGGUUGUCGUCAGCUCGUGUCGUGAGAUGUUGGGUUAAGUCCCGCAACGAGCGCAACCCUCGUUCCAUGUUGCCAGCACGUGAUGGUGGGGACUCAUGG